RNAcentral lists this ribosomal RNA (264 nucleotides) under uncultured bacterium. RNAcentral describes it as "partial 16S ribosomal RNA". It matches the Rfam family "Bacterial small subunit ribosomal RNA", at positions 793 to 1055 of the family's 1533-position model. The record is from RNAcentral.
GUCCUUGCCUUAAACGAUGCAUACUUGGUGUAAGAGGGCUCAACCCCUUUUUGUAUCGGAGCUAACGCGUUAAGUAUGCCGCCUGAGGAGUACGCUCGCAAGGGUGAAACUCAAAAGAAUUGACGGGGGCCCGCACAAGCAGUGGAGCAUGUGGUUUAAUUCGAUGCAACGCGAAGAACCUUACCCAGGCUCGAAAUGAAGAGGGCGAGGUUAGAGAUAACCUUUUCCGCAAGGACUUCUUUAUAGGUGCUGCAUGGCUGUCGU